This 810-nucleotide ribosomal RNA is filed under the name uncultured bacterium. RNAcentral's name for it is "bacterial SSU rRNA". It matches the Rfam family "Bacterial small subunit ribosomal RNA", at positions 8 to 795 of the family's 1533-position model. The record is from RNAcentral.
AGAGUUUGAUCCUGGCUCAGAACGAACGCUGGCGGCGUGCCUAACACAUGCAAGUCGUACGAGAAAGUCCGCUUCGGUGGAUAAGUAAAGUGGCGCACGGGUGAGUAACGCGUGGAUAAUCUACCCUUUAGUCGGGAAUAACUUAUCGAAAGGUGACCUAAUACCGGAUAACAGUGCGCAACUACUGUUGUGUACUCAAAGAAGGCCUCUGCUUGCAAGCUUUCGCUAAAGGAUGAGUCCGCGUCCCAUUAGCUAGUUGGCGGGGUAAUGGCCCACCAAGGCUACGAUGGGUAGCUGGUCUGAGAGGAUGAUCAGCCACACUGGAACUGAGACACGGUCCAGACUCCUACGGGAGGCAGCAGUGGGGAAUUUUGCGCAAUGGGGGAAACCCUGACGCAGCAACGCCGCGUGAGUGAUGAAGGCUUUCGGGUCGUAAAGCUCUGUCAGAAGGGAAGAAAUGUGGGCGGCUAAUAUCUGUUCCACUUGACGGUACCUUCAAAGGAAGCACCGGCUAACUCCGUGCCAGCAGCCGCGGUAAUACGUAGGGUGCGAGCGUUAAUCGGAAUUACUGGGCGUAAAGCGUGCGCAGGCGGUUUUGUAAGACAGGCGUGAAAUCCCCGGGCUUAACCUGGGAACUGCGUUUGUGACUGCAAGGCUAGAGUACGGCAGAGGGGGGUGGAAUUCCACGUGUAGCAGUGAAAUGCGUAGAGAUGUGGAGGAACACCAAUGGCGAAGGCAGCCCCCUGGGUCGAUACUGACGCUCAUGCACGAAAGCGUGGGUAGCAAACAGGAUUAGAUACCCUGGUAGUC